This 1138-nucleotide ribosomal RNA is filed under the name uncultured bacterium. RNAcentral's name for it is "bacterial SSU rRNA". It matches the Rfam family "Bacterial small subunit ribosomal RNA", at positions 37 to 1166 of the family's 1533-position model. The record is from RNAcentral.
UAGCUACAGGCUUAACACAUGCAAGUCGAGGGGAAACGACAUCGAAAGCUUGCUUUUGAUGGGCGUCGACCGGCGCACGGGUGAGUAACGCGUAUCCAACCUGCCCAUCACUUGGGGAUAACCUUGCGAAAGUAAGACUAAUACCCAAUGACGUCUUUAGAAGACAUCUGAAAGGGAUUAAAGAUUUAUCGGUGAUGGAUGGGGAUGCGUCUGAUUAGCUUGUUGGCGGGGUAACGGCCCACCAAGGCGACGAUCAGUAGGGGUUCUGAGAGGAAGGUCCCCCACAUUGGAACUGAGACACGGUCCAAACUCCUACGGGAGGCAGCAGUGAGGAAUAUUGGUCAAUGGGCGAGAGCCUGAACCAGCCAAGUAGCGUGCAGGAUGACGGCCCUAUGGGUUGUAAACUGCUUUUAUAAGGGAAUAAAGUGAGUCUCGUGAGACUUUUUGCAUGUACCUUAUGAAUAAGGACCGGCUAAUUCCGUGCCAGCAGCCGCGGUAAUACGGAAGGUCCGGGCGUUAUCCGGAUUUAUUGGGUUUAAAGGGAGCGUAGGCCGGAGAUUAAGCGUGUUGUGAAAUGUAGACGCUCAACGUCUGCACUGCAGCGCGAACUGGUUUCCUUGAGUACGCACAAAGUGGGCGGAAUUCGUGGUGUAGCGGUGAAAUGCUUAGAUAUCACGAAGAACUCCGAUUGCGAAGGCAGCUCACUGGGGCGCAACUGACGCUGAAGCUCGAAAGUGCGGGUAUCGAACAGGAUUAGAUACCCUGGUAGUCCGCACGGUAAACGAUGGAUGCCCGCUGUUGGUCUGAAUAGGUCAGCGGCCAAGCGAAAGCAUUAAGCAUCCCACCUGGGGAGUACGCCGGCAACGGUGAAACUCAAAGGAAUUGACGGGGGCCCGCACAAGCGGAGGAACAUGUGGUUUAAUUCGAUGAUACGCGAGGAACCUUACCCGGGCUUGAAUUGCAGAGGAAGGAUUUGGAGACAAUGACGCCCUUCGGGGCCUCUGUGAAGGUGCUGCAUGGUUGUCGUCAGCUCGUGCCGUGAGGUGUCGGCUUAAGUGCCAUAACGAGCGCAACCCCUCUCCUUAGUUGCCAUCAGGUCAAGCUGGGCACUCUGGGGACACUGCCACCGUAAGGUGUG